This 3388-nucleotide long non-coding RNA is filed under the name Sus scrofa (pig). RNAcentral describes it as "lncRNA (ENSSSCG00005024057.1)". Lineage: Eukaryota; Metazoa; Chordata; Mammalia; Artiodactyla; Suidae. The record is from RNAcentral.
GAUUUAUUAGCUUUUAAUGCUUUCAUGUACAUGAAAAGCAACUUUACAGAUUUUCCUAUGUACAUACAUUGUUUUAUUACUCAAUGAAUUUUAUUAAUUUAUUGGUGUACAAUGAUCAUCACAACCCAAUUUUAUAGCAUUUCCAUCCCAAACCCCCGGCCAUCCCCACAACCUGUCUCCUUUGGAAACCAUAAGGUAAGUCAGCAUCUGUUCUGCAAAGUUCAUUGUGUCCUUGUUUCGGAUUCCACAUGUCAGUGGAAGCAUUUGACGUUGGUGUCUCGUUGUCUGAUUGACUUCACUUAGCAUGAUGGUUUCUAGGUCCAUCCAUGUUGCUAAAAACGCCGGUUUUUAACAGCUGAGUAAUAUUCCCUUGUGUAUGUGUACCACACCUUCUUGAUCCACACCUCUGCCAACAGGCAUUUAGGUUGUUUCCAUGUCUUGGCUGUUGCAAAUACCACUGCAGUGAGCACUGGAGUAUGCGUGUCUUUUUGAGUCAUGGUUUUCUCUGGGUAGAUGCCCAGGAGUGGGAUUGCUGGAUUGAACGGUCGUUCUAUGUUUAGUUUUCUGAGGCAUCUCCAUACUGUUUUCCACAGUGGUUGCACCAAUUUACAAUCCCGCCAACAGUGCAAUAGGGCUCCCUCUUGUCCACACCCUCUCCAGCACUUAUUGUUUGUAGCCUUUUGGAUGAUGGCCCCUCUAGCUGGUGGUACCUCAUAGGGUUUUUGAUUUGCAUUUCUCUAUUUAAUGAGUGAGGUUGAACAUCUUUUCAUGUGUUUUCUGGCCAUCCGUAUGUCUUCUUUGGAGAACUGUUUAGAUCUCCUGCCCAUCUUUUGAUGGGGUGCUUUGUUUUUUCAGUAUUGAGCUGCAGGUGUUUAUAAAUUUUGGGAGAUUAACCCCUUGUCAGCUGCUCUAUCUGCAAAGAUUUUCUCCCAUUCCGUGGUUGUGUCAUUUUGUUAACGACUUCCUUCGCUAGUUCUAUACUAUCCGAUCUCAUAUCUAGGUCCUUAAUCCCUUUUGAGUUGAUUUUGUGUGUGGUGUUGAGUGUUCUAAUUUCAUUCUUCUGUGGGGCCGUCCAGUGUCCCUGCACCACGUAUGGAGGGCUGUCCUCCCUCUGGUUAAAUACCUUUGGCUCAGGGGCUACUCCCUCGUCUAGAAAUGCUGCCUCCCCUUCCUCUCCCACCAGCCCUGCCUGAGCGGGCUUGCUGAGGCGCUCCAUGGGCUGAGGGCCCCCAGUCCCUGGCCAGAGUGGGAGGGCACAGCUACACCUUCCAGCUGGCAAGCCUCUGGCUGGGGGCGGGUCCAGACCCGGGCAGGUGUACAUUGCUUGCUUCCUCAGGGCUCCCAGGCCCCAGCGGACGGCCUCGCCCCUCGCCCUCCAGGAGGGAAGGCCGAGGGAGGGCCGAGCUGAGCACGGAGCGGGUGAGUGGCAGUGGGGUGGGGUCCUGCCCCCCCAGGCGUCUCGGUGUUUGUCAGCCCAGCUUCAACCCCAGAUGUUUGCUCUCGGCCCCGGGAGCUGGAGUGUGUCAAGGUGCCGGCUGGGCUGGCUGCGUCCUCAUGUGGCCCUUCCUCUGCUGCAUCCCGGCGGCUGUCCUUUAUUGUCGUUGUAGUUGACUGACUGUGCUGUCGAUUUCUCUGUACAGCACAGUGCCUGGCGUCUAUUCGGGUGAGGACGCUGUACCCCCCCACCCCUCCCCGCCUUGUGACUUCAUCUCAUCUGCACACACAGCCACACUGCGGGGAGGGCUUCAACCUGGGAGUUUUGGGGACACUGCAGGCACAGCUCUGUCGACACAGGAAGGAAGCAGCAGGUGCAGAGGGACGGGGGCAGUUGUGGGGGGAGGGGCAGACCUGGCUCCGCGGUGGGAGCCGGCAGAGGGCUGGGGGCAGGAGACCACCAGAGAAGCCGUCGCCGGCCUCUGUCCCCCUCUGACAAGAAGGACGCGGAGGCCCAGGCCCGGCGGCCUAACCCUGGCCUGCGGUCCACACCAUGGGUCAGCGCCUUUGUUGUCAGCUGGAGGUGGCACUGUCUCCACAAGAACCACCUUUGGGGACCUUUGCCAUGACGGUGCCAGCUGCGGACCGGGCCUGUUUCUGACUGUCCCGCAGGUUUUCCCAGCCUUAAGGAGUCAUAACAAAAAACAAACCAAAGAAGAGUCUUCAAGUGCUUCCUACCUGGCCAUCAGGACACCUGCCCACCUGGGCCCGUGUCCCGUCCGGGGUGUCGGGAGCAGGACUGGUCUUUUCUUGUGAGAAUGGUCUACAGGCUGGCAGCUGGGAGGCCUUAAGAGGAGCAGAGGGUGCCCCAGGCAGGAGGCCGAGGGUUCUUCCUUUGGGGCAGAUGGCUCAGGCCUCUAGUUUAAUGGCUCAUUGGGUUGGCAAGUUAGAAACUUAGCUGCCACCCUGUUUCACCUGAGCAGCCCUUGCUCCCAACCAAGCACAGAGACCAUGCUGAAAUGGCAUCUUUCUUUUUUUUUUUUUUUGGUCUUUUGUCUUUUUAGAGCUGCACCCGUGGCAUGUGGAGGUUCCCAGGCUAGGGGUCUGAUCAGAGCUAUAGCUUCUGGCCUAUGCCAGAGCCAUAGCAAUGCCAGAUCCGAGCCACGACUGCGACCUACACCACAGCUCACGGCAACGCCGGAUCCCCAACCCACUGCGCGAGGCCAGGGAUCGAACCCGCAACCUCACGGUUCCUAGUCAGAUUCGUUUCCGCUGCGCCACGACGGGAACUCCUGAAAUGGCAUUUCUACAAGAGACACCGAGGCUUGAGAAAUCUGAGUUUUGCUUUUUCUUGAACAGCAGGAGGAGAAAAAUAAGAAAGUGAGACGGCUCCUUCCUGAAAGGGCGACAGCUCAGGCGUCGGUGUUUGUAACGACCACGGGUGACAAGAAACUAGAGUUCAUGGUUCAGGCAAAUCUUCACAAACUGCCCGCCCCUCUCAGCGACUGGGCUGGGGAGGAAGCCCAGCUCCUUCUCGGCUGCUCAGAACCCCUUGCGCGUGCCCGGGGGCGUGUCUGCCCCCUGCCCAGCAGCGCCCAGCGGGCAGCGUGGCCUGUGGCCUCGUUCACUCGGGGACAGACAUCUGCUGACGCUGCACGUGACCCGUGCAUGUGACCCGCGGGGCUGGGGCUGCCCGCCUGAGGCUCAGGGGAGCGGGACGUGCAGACAGCAGCGCGGAGGGCGCGGCUCACGAAGAACACCGGCCCAAGCUGACAGCCCAGUGGGUCGGCUCUGGGCCACAGUCUCGGGGCGGCAAGGGACAUCCACUCCUUUCCUUCUGAGCGUAGUUAAACCUGACUUUCGCCCCUUCCCCCUGAACCGAGGGGGACUGGCCUUGGCUCUCACUGGCCUCCGUCACCUGCAAGGACCGGAGGCCGAAGGCUCGGGUGUUGCU